UCCAGGUGGCCACCUGGCUCCAAGUCCGGCCCCGCCCGGCCUCUGGGUUCAGCGCCUAGGGUGAUCUGGCUUAGACGGGGUCUCCUUCCCGCCUGAGUACGAGAAGACGCUGAACGCAGCUUUGCCCGCAGCUUCAUCCAGGCCGGGCCAGAGCCCAGAUUGGGCCUGGGUCUCUGCUGGGUAGGGGAAGACGAGGCCGCCUCCUAGGCAGAGUGGGAAAUGGAAACCUCGAAUAGGACACGUUGACUCCUCCGGGGCUGAGUGUUAAGAACUGACAGCAAGAUUCUCGGGUCUAACCCAAAGGUCGGUCUGUCUGCACUCUGACCCCUGCUGGACUUCAGCCACCUGGAGUCAAGGUCUCCUCCUGCAUCCGGAAGGAGGACCUAAAUCAAGGAGCUCCGAACUGCUCACGUCCAAAAGGGUAAAAGGAAGCAAUCUGUACGUGGUUCCCCAAGCACGCAUGGAGGAAGGUUUUUGUUGAAGAAAGGGGAUUGAAAGAGAGACCACAUGACUAGAUUUCUUCCGUCCGUCCCUCCCCGCCCCCCCCCCACCGCUCCCCAAGAAGAAGACAGCCAUAUCAAGGCAGAGGUAGAGCGCAGGUUAUUGUGAAACCCACGGCCUCUGGCCACCAAAGGAAACGGAGCUGCAGCUUGUAAAAUUAGGUAUUCCUCAGAACAGGCCUGGUUUCUCUUUGUGAUUAGCGCCUAUAUCAUCUUUUUUUCCCAUCUUAAGUCUGGCUGAAUGAUAUAGAAAAUGAAAGAUACAUUUUCAUGGGAAGAUUCUUACCUGGAAAAUUCUUCCCUUCCUGUCUUCUUAAUUUACUGGUCCCUUCUCCCCCUUUCCCCCUUUGGAAAGAUAAAUCCUUGCUCCAUCCAACUGUUUAUCCUCGGGGAUCUUUCCACUUCCACACUUGCGUAUUUAUCUGACCCUUCCGGGUUUGCAUUUGCGGAGGUUAGGGGGCUCUCCCCAGGCAAUGCUUCCAACCCCCCACCCCCUGCUUGGCUAAGACCUGCUAGCAGUGCUCGCUGGGCCUCGGAGUUGGUCCAGGCUCUGCCGCAGGUUCUGUUGUGUGCACUGGAAUAUUGAUUUUUCAGUGUGUGCGCGCGGCUCUGUAAAAAAAAAAAAAAUCAAUAUUUCAGUAGCUCAAGCACACAGCGCGGGGCAGUGUAAUGGAGCCGGCCUGCUGAUGUAAUGUGCGGGGUCCACCUUCAGCGACUGAGGUCAGACAAAGGCAGUGUCCGUCCCUCUUCCAUUGUUUGCUUCACGGACAGGGGAGGGGGUCGGCCUACGCUUGUGUCCAUCAGAGGCCAAGCUCCUGGGUAGCAUAGAAAGGGGGGGGGGGCAAAGCUGAUGGCUGCGAAUGUUCUAUUAUCCAUUUAUGUGAGAACUCUUGCAUAAAACAUUAGGCAAUGUGGAGUUAUUCCCAGCCAUCAGUUUACCAAAUUUUACUAGGAACAAAAGAAAACAGACUUGCUCCAGGACAAGCCCUGAGUUGGUCUUUUAGUAACUGGCUAUCUGGAAGCGUAUUAGCCUUCUGUCCCAUAACGAGCCUCUGCCUAAAAAGACAACAGAUUUCUCACUGGCUUCAAAGGGGAAAACAGAUCAGUAAGUGUUGGUGCCUGGGGGCUGGCUAUCUUCAUGACCUCAGCAGCUGAUGAGGACAGGAGGCUAGACCUGAGUGAGGUAUGUGGGUCCUCUGGGCUCUCCCACUAGAUGAACCCCCUGUUUUUACCGGUAACUUAAAGGGUUAGAUUCUGCGACUUCUGAAUAUCCUUCUAGCUACUACAGCUCUACAGAAGAAAAGAUGGUAUAGCCAAAGACAAAAGUAUAAUUAUGUUAAGUGUGGCUCUUAGAUAAGAAAAUGGAUUAAUACCAAGGACAUUUUUGAGGCAGAAGGUGCCUUGUUCCAACUCUAGCUGGCUGUGAUUUAAAUUCCAUUGCAUUGCCAUCUUUUUAGAGGGUAAUUUGGCCAUUUUCUAAAAUACACUUUUUUUUGACCCAGCUCUUCUUGUUCUAAGUUUCCCUAAAGAAACACUAUCAUUUAAAUGAAAUUCACCGCUUGCAUUUGUGUGUCACUGAAACACUGGAAACAACGUGGGACCUAUCACAUAAUACACGUUUUCUCUUCCAGAGGACGUCGGAAACUGCCAUGGAAACGCAGAGACCAGGCCUUUGUAAGGCCUCACAUCUCCCCCGCUGCCACCCUGUUUUGCAGCCCCCCUGCCGUCUGGCUCCUUUUCUAGCCUCCUCUGGUGCUUCAGGUCUGGACCACAUCCAUUUUCUGGACCCUCAUCACUCACUCCCCACACAUACACUUAUUUUCCUUCUUUAAUUUAAAUAUUUUUUCUUUCGUUUUUAAUUAUUUGUAUGAGCGUGAGCUUUUACACAUGAGCACAGUGCUUGUGGAAGGCAGAAGAGGGUACCAGAUCCACCUGUACCAUUUGUAGGCCCGAAGCCUCCUCAUGUGGGUGCUAGGAUCUGAACCUGGGUCCUCUGUAAGAACUGAGAGUCCUCUUAACCACUGAGCCCUCUCGAUGGCCUUGCCUUUAACUUGCAAACAACAUAGACAUCACGUCUGAAAGUGUGUGAAAGGGCAAGCCCAGCCCAGCACUCGGAACUCAG
Long non-coding RNA from Alexandromys fortis (reed vole), 2622 nucleotides. RefSeq lists it as uncharacterized. NCBI's taxonomy places the organism in Eukaryota, Metazoa, Chordata, Mammalia, Rodentia, Cricetidae. The record is from RefSeq and is a predicted model, not a curated record. The transcript has 3 exons.